UGCUUUAUGUAUUUUUAUUCAGGUGUUUUCCUCUCAUGUGAUCGAACGUCAGUGGUAUGCAGUUGGACGAUACUAUAUACGGAUAGAGAAUGGUCGGCUUCAUUUUAUUCUUAGAAGUGCAUUCCGCGUUUUCCAAGCGCCUCAAGGGUAUAGAGGUUCUUUAGUGAACCCAUUGCGCCCAACUACUACAACAGGCCGACCAUACACAUACUCCGAGGCUGACAUAGAAUCACCAUCGUACUUUUUAUCUCAAGUGAACUUUUGGUUUUGAUGGUACUUCCCCCAGUGACCAAGAGAAACAAUCAACCAAAAAAAAAUUUAACACAGUAUUUUGU
Ciona intestinalis (vase tunicate) is the source of this 335-nucleotide non-coding RNA. The record is from RefSeq and is a predicted model, not a curated record. Lineage: Eukaryota; Metazoa; Chordata; Ascidiacea; Phlebobranchia; Cionidae.